This is an RNA transcript of Brienomyrus brachyistius, 4980 nucleotides long. It is a transcript of the gene named NACHT, LRR and PYD domains-containing protein 3-like, with no coding region annotated. The transcript is spliced from 14 exons. NCBI's taxonomy places the organism in Eukaryota, Metazoa, Chordata, Actinopteri, Osteoglossiformes, Mormyridae. The record is from RefSeq and is a predicted model, not a curated record.
GGAGAGCUGUUCCACCCUCCUUUCACACUUUCAUGUGAUCUGUCCAACUCCAUAACUACCUUGAAGAAGUUUCAACGUCUUUAGAACUAGAGAUUUCUCCCUCCAAAACCAGCAUCACUGGGUUUUGUCUGCUUCCCUGUUCAGUUCUUAAGGGGACAGGGUACAGUACUGCACAGGGAGAGCUGACCUGAGGAAGGGGAUCAAAGCUGCCAAGACGGAACAUAAACUGAAAAUAGAGGACCACUUCACAGACAGCAACCAUGUCAUUCAUUCUCAGGUGCCAGUACUCUCAGCAGAUAUUGUGAGGUGUCUGUACUCUGAAGAGACAAACAAAGAGGUGCUGGUACUGCAUACCUCACAGGGUGAAAUAUGGCCCAUAGCUAUGAGUCCAAAUGGUCAGUGGACGUCUCUGCCUGUGACUGCAAACUGCCUGUAGUCAGAUUGUGAUACACGGGAACUGGUUUCUUUACAGCCAUAAUCAUCUAAACAAUGGCUCACCAAGAGAACUCGCUCACCGACCUCUUGCUGGAGAAUCUGAAGGAGCUCGAUGAUGAAGAGCUGAAGGAGUUUAAAUGGAAACUGAGUCACACAAAGUAUAAUGAGUUAAAGCCCCUUCCCAGGGGUCAGGUGAAGCACUUGGAUAGAACAGACCUCGCCGACACGAUGAUAAGUUCCUACAGGGAAGUUGGUGCUCUUGAAGUCACACUAGAAAUCCUGAAGAAUAUGACCCUGAAUGACCUUGCUGAGAGACUGAAGGAAGACCUGCAGAAGUGUAAUCAAUUAGUAAAUGAGCGGGGUGACGUAUCAGAGAAAAGGGAGCUAAUUUUGCACAGAAUAAAAUGUAACCUGAAGAAGAAAUUUGAGUGUGUAUUUCAAGGGAAAGCUAAGGAAGGACAGUCAACACUUCUCAAAGAGAUUUACACAGAAGUCUGCAUAAUUGAAGGGGGAGCUGGAGGAGUCAAUGAUGAACAUGAAGUGAGACAGAUUGAAACAGCAUCCAAGAAAAGGCGAACAGAAGAUACUACAGUCAAGUGCAAUGAUAUAUUUAAACCCUUAUGUAGGCGUGAGACACCUAUCAGAACUGUACUCACUAAAGGGGUUGCAGGUAUCGGGAAAACAGUCUCUGUGCAGAAAUUUAUUCUAGACUGGGCAGAUGGAAAAGCAAACCAGGACAUUCACUUCAUAUUUGCUCUUCCUUUCCGGAACCUGAAUUUGCUUGAGGGUGAAUUCAGUCUGAUUGAACUGCUUCACCACUUUGAUCAAGAACUAAAGUCAUUUCAAUCUACUGAGCUGUUUAGGUGCAAAGUCUUGAUCAUCUUUGAUGGUCUAGAUGAGUGUCGUCUUCUUCUUAAUUUUAAGAACAAUAAGAGCUUUUCUGAUGUAACAAAGAAAACAUCACUGGAUGUGCUGUUGACUAACCUCAUUAAAGGAAAUUUGCUCCCAUCCGCUCUCCUCUGGAUAACCUCCCGGCCAGCAGCAACCAGUCAGAUACCUCUUGAGUACAUCGACCAGGUGACAGAGAUACGAGGGUUCAGUGAUGCCCAGAAGGAGGAGUAUUUCAAGAAGAGAUUUAAUGAUGAGAGCCUGGCUGAAAGGAUUAUCAGACAUAUGAAAUCAUCAAGGAGCCUCUUCAUCAUGUGCCACAUACCUGUGUUCUGCUGUAUUUCAGCCACUGUCCUUGAGAGUCUUUUUAGCAAAACUGACAUUGGUGAAAUUCCAAAGACUUUUACUGAAAUGUACACACACUUCCUAAUCUUUCAGACAAGUUUAAAACAUAGCAAGUAUGUGCUCCAGACCCCUGUGACCGAGAAGAGGACAAGCUGGUUCAGAAAAUUGAAGGAUGGAUGGGGGGAAAGAAAUGAAACCAACCAUAUUAAAUGCUUCCUUCUAAAACUUGGUAAACUGGCUUUUCAUAACCUUCAGAAAAGCAAUAUCAUAUUUUAUGAAAAAGAUCUUGAACAGAGUGACCUUGACGUCAGAGAAACUUCAGUUUACUCUGGAGUGUGCACAGAAGUCUUUAAGGAGGAAUAUGGGUUGUAUCAGACAAAGGUUUACUGCUUUGUGCAUCUGAGCAUUCAGGAGUAUUUCGCUGCUUUAUAUGUCUUUCUAUCAAAGUCAUCAGCUAACCUACUGAAGACUGCAGUGAAUCAGGCAUUAAAGAGCAAGAAUGGACACUUGGACCUCUACCUCCGCUUCCUCCUGGGCCUUUCAACAGACUCCAGUAAGACUCUCUUAGAAAGGCUACUGGGACAGACAGGAUUCAGCUCACAUAACAUUGGGAAAACAGCCGAAUACAUCAAGAGUAAAAUAAAUAAGAAUUUAUCUCCAGAAAGGACCAUCAACCUGUUCCACUGUCUAAAUGAACUGGGUGACAAUUCUUUAGUAGAGGAGGUACAAAGAUACCUGAAUUCAGGAAAUCUUUCAGCAGAAGAUCUCUCACCUGCACAGUAUUCAGCUCUGGCCUUUGUGUUACUGAUGUCAGAUGAGGAGCUGGAUGUGUUUGAUCUGAAUAAAUUCUUCAGAUCAGAUAAUGAGCACUGGAGGCUGUUGCCUGUGGUCAAGACAUCCAAGACAGCUCUGCUGAACAGCUGUAGUCUCACAGAGUCAUGCUGUGACACGUUGGCUUUAACUCUCAGAUCAAACUCCUCACCCCUGAGAGAGCUGGACCUGAGUAACAAUGACCUGCAGGAUUCAGGAGUGAAGCUGCUCUCUGCUGGACUGGGGGAUUCACACUGCAAAUUGGAGAUACUGAGGCUGUCAGGCUGUAGAGUCAAAGAGAGAGGCUGUACUUCCCUGGCUUCAGCUCUGAGAUCAAACCCCUCACAUCUGAGAGAGCUGGACCUGAGCUACAAUCACCCAGGAGACUCAGGGGUGAAGCUGCUCUAUGCUGUACUGGAGGAUCCCAGCUGUAAACUGGAGAAGCUGAAUGUGGAUCACAGUGGAGAGUGCAGGACCAGACCAGGCUUACAGAAAUAUGGAUUUCCAAGUUCAUGUUUUGACUCCUGCCAGCUGACGCUGGACCCCAACACAGCAAACAGACUCCUGUCUCUGUCAGAGGGGAACAGGAAGGUGACACGGGGGGCAGAGCAGCCAUAUCCUGAUCAUCCAGAGCGAUUUGACAGCUGUAACCAAGUUCUGUGCAGAGAGAGUCUGACUGGUCGCUGUUACUGGGAGGCUGAGUGGAGUGGAGGUGGAGCUGAUAUAGCAGUGACUUAUAAAGGAAUAGAGAGGAAAGGACAGAGUGCUAGCUCUUCACUUGGAGCCAAUGACAAGUCAUGGAUGCUGACCUGCCUUUCUGACAGUUACUCUGUCCAGCACAAUGAUAAACAGACUGACAUACCCAUAAAGCCCUCAGGCUCCCGCAGAGUAGGAGUGUAUCUGGACCAGGCGGCUGGUACUCUGUCCUUCUACAGAGUCUCCUCUGAUGGACUGACCCUCCUGUACAGCUUCACCUCCUCAUUCACUGAACCCCUCUAUCCAGGGUUUUGGGUUCAUUAUGUCUCCUCCAUGUCACUGUGCAUGCUGGGAUAGCUCACUGUGUGCUGCAGGAAUCAUUUUUACCUUAUCAGAGUGUCAGAUGACGCUGCUUCUCCCUGGCAAAAAGGCUCACUACUAGCAGAAGGCUUAGAAGAUGCAGGACGACUGGGAGCCAUCGUAGGGCUUAAAACAAAAUGAAAACAAUCGGACCACAAGCAAGGUACGCGAUACGCAGAGAACUGUGACGCAUUAGGGAAAAAUCCGCGAUAUAGCGGGGAUCACUGUAUUGUUGAAAUAGCUUUGUUUGUUUAGAAUACAUAACUAUUACAGCACAGACACUCAACAAUGGCAUAUUAUUUGCAAAUAAUAAAAAAAAUUCCAAAAAGUUUUUUAGACCAAUUAAGUGAAAUUGGAUAAUUUCUCACAGCAUGCUAGUGUGCCACGGCACAGUGGUUGAAAAUCACUGUUCUAAAGCAUUAUGUCGAACUGUACGCAAAUUAUUAGGAAGAAAAAAUAAUCUGUCAUUUUCUUCUGGGUUGCAUUUCUUUCAGAGGUUUUAAAGAUAUACGUGUAAUGGGGUGGAGCUGGAGGGUGCGAUCUUGUUGGGGCAUGGUAAUUUAAUUAACCUGAUUGGUUAAUUGUUACGGCCAGCCUGCAUAUAUAGGACCCGGUUGUGGUUGCGUGCGUGACUGCUCUGUAACCGGUGACGUGACUUCCUUGCGCCAGUAUCUCCUUUUUUAAGUUGUGGGUAUAUCCAACGCUGCAGGUAGGGUACCAGUGGACGGCGUCGUUUGCUUGCUGUAUGGGUCGUUGUAAUGUGUUUUUUGGUAUAUUUCUUUACAGUUGCGAGGGCUCGGUAUAUCUAGCUGCUUGCGGUUGCUCCUGCUUUUAAGGUUUUCCUUUUAAUACCGCGUGUAAUCUGCCAGGUAUGUCUCGUCUCCUUUUACUAACAAUGUUUGGGUAGUAGGGGCAUGCCUAAUAAUGUUUGUAUUUGUAGUGGAUCGCGACUUGGACUGUUCCUGGACCGACGUGAGCCAGACAAUCGGCGGGAAAACUAAGCCACUACAAUUGCUGCUGUUUUGCCCGGAUGUUUUUAUGUUUUGUUUCGUGUUUUAAUUGGUUUUAAGUAUUAAUGUGUUGGAUGUAAACUGUGGGGCGCCGGUGGUGGAGGUUUGGUGUUGGGAGGUGAGGAUCUGUUUUGGGCUGCGUGCGUGGUCGCUUUGCCUUUUUAGCCCACCCUUUGGGUGGAUGUACUUACGCCAUGUGAUGCGGUGACCCCUUGGAGUACUUUCUGACGGUUCGCCUCCCAUUCCCCUCCCCAUAACAGCUGCUGGGUUUGGGUUUUUUUUUUUUUUUUUUUUUUUUUUUUUUUGUACAAUUGGAGUGUUUUAACAUGAUUUGAUUUGCACUAUUUGUGGUGUGAUUAAGUAAUUUGUUUGCUGUUUGGUUUUUUUCUUUGAGUGCGAACUAAACAGCACCCUAAUAAAGGGAGUGUUCAUGGUC